CGCGGUAUUAUGACCGUGCGAAGGUAGCAUAAUCAUUAGCCUUUUAAUUGGGGGCUGGAAUGAAUGGUCGGACGAGAAGUAAGCUGUCUUUAUUUCAUGGAUUGAAUUUAACUUUUAAGUGAGAAGGCUUAAAUGGGUUAGAGGGACGAUAAGACCCUAUAAAGUUUAUACAUGGGGUUAAUUAAGAGUGAUUUAGGACAGUAAAGUUUGCUAUUAGCAAGAUGUUUGGUUGGGGCGACUAGAAUAUAAGUUAUAUAACUGUUUUUUAUUUAAGUCAGAAGUAUUUGUUUGUAGUGAUCCCUUUUUAGGAUUUAAGAGUAAAUUACUUUAGGGAUAACAGCGUAAUUUUUUUUGAGAGUUCUUAUCGACAAAAGAGUUUGCGACCUCGAUGUUGAAUUAAAAAUUUCUUUGCGGUGUAGU
RNAcentral lists this ribosomal RNA (420 nucleotides) under Cherax sp. Jan2019ChSp8. RNAcentral describes it as "partial large subunit ribosomal RNA". It matches the Rfam family "Archaeal large subunit ribosomal RNA", at positions 2009 to 2628 of the family's 2987-position model. Lineage: Eukaryota; Metazoa; Arthropoda; Malacostraca; Decapoda; Parastacidae. The record is from RNAcentral.